UACGAGAGGCCCAAACGUUAUUCGGAUUUACUGGGCUUAAAGAGUUCGUAGGCGGCGCAGUAAGUAGGGUGUGAAAGCCCUCGGCUCAACCGAGGAAUUGCGCCCUAAACUACUGUGCUUGAGGGACGUAGAGGUGAGCAGAACUGAUGGUGGAGCGGUGAAAUGCGUUGAUAUCAUCAGGAAUACCGGAGGCGAAGGCGGCUCACUGGGGGUCUUCUGACGCUGAGGAACGAAAGCCAGGGGAGCGAACGGG
Molecule: ribosomal RNA, 253 nt
Filed under: uncultured bacterium
Lineage: Bacteria
Description: partial 16S ribosomal RNA
Rfam family: Bacterial small subunit ribosomal RNA
Source: RNAcentral